This is a long non-coding RNA of Pezoporus flaviventris, 1605 nucleotides long. RefSeq lists it as uncharacterized. Lineage: Eukaryota; Metazoa; Chordata; Aves; Psittaciformes; Psittacidae. The transcript has 3 exons. The record is from RefSeq and is a predicted model, not a curated record.
AGGUAUCUGAAGACCUGUUGAAGAUAAUAAUAAACUCUUUUGCUGCUGAGUAUCAGAGAAAUCCCAGGGGUUCCUGAAUUUGCCACAGUGUUUGCACACUGACAGUUUAGAAGAACAGCAAGUAUCUUCAACCAUUUAUUUAGAAAUAAAAUUGGCUAUAGACUGAGUAAUGCUGCUGAGAAUUGGGAUCCAGUUAUGAGGCGUAGCAAAAGAGACUGACAAGAACAAUUUACUGAAUGGGAUCUUGGAGGGAAGAUGUGGUGCUGCAGUGAUAACUUGUACCAUACAAUACAAUUUUCAUCCUAAGAUGCUUCCUCUGGAGGAGAGCAGUUUGAAUACUCUGGAAGGCUCAUAAUUUAAAAGUUCCUGUAGUUAAAGACAACUUGCAGAAAGCUAUAGAGAGAGUCUAGUUUUAAACUCAGCUUGAAGGCUGAAGCCUCAAAAUGCAGAGCCUUGCUGAGAGAGCACAGUGCAGCUGUAUGGGAGCCCUGUGUUUUGUCUACAGCCCUAUCAGGGAGCUGGUGAGGAAGGACAGCUUCUGCUCCAUGGAAGUGCACAGGCAGAGGUUUGCAUCCCUCAGUGAUGGGCUGUGUGGCCUGUCUAGAGCACAAAGCAGUGGGAAGGAGGAGGAGGAUGCUGAAAACUGAGGCAGAGCAAGUUGUUUUGUUGCUAGGAGCUGGAUGGUGCUGUUCCCAUGGCCAGCUCACAGGAGAGUGGAGAAGUAAAGGCACAGGAAAGUGUGAACCACCUGUGAGCACCUCAGAAGAGGGAGAACAGGCUGCAGAGGAGGAAGAGGCAGGUUUUGCCUGACUGUGAAUAAGAAUACUCACUGCCCAUCUCUAAACUUCUCAGUAACUUCUCAGGUGUCCCUGGACUCUUGUGUAACCAGGCUUGGAAGAUGCUGUGCUUGCUUUCAAAGCUGUUUUUGACAUUCUGCUUCAGCCCUGCUGAACUUUAGAGCUCUUCUUUCCCCAAACAUUGCCCCCCUCUCGCAUAUCCACUCUGUGCAGUGAACAGACUUGAGUUCUCACAGUGUGUUGCAGACACCCAGCUGAGGCAAUGCUUGUUUUGAAAUAAACCCAGAUAUCUACCACUGUUCUAAUUGAAAUAACCUGUUUGUUCCAAGCUUUAAGUUAGCUGAUAGGGAUUUCCCAGUGCCUGCCUCUGCUGUGCUUGUUGCCAAGGAGGGUGUCCCUGGAUUCUGCAUUUCCAGAGUUCAGUCAUUCAACAAACUGUGCAUGAAAGAAAGAUGGGCUCUUCCUGAGGUGAUUUAGCCAUCCUUUGUAAAGCAUCUGUUAUAGUGUGGGGAUUUACUUUCUCCUCUGGCUGUAGGUAGGUACCUGUGUCUGAGCACAGCACAGAGGUGAGAAUGAGACUUGGGGCACAGUAGGACCUGUUCCUGCUAUGUACAGCAAGGACUGGGAAUGAUUAGCAUGAAACUGGAUUUUGUGUUACUCUAAGGCAGUAAUGCAGCACAGAAUUGACUAGCACAUAAUUUCAUUCUUUCCCAUCCCUUAAAUAAUAAGAGAGCUUCAAUCCAGACUUGAAGGAGGCAACUGCUCCGGUGUGGUCAUAGGAAAAUGUCAGUGCUAUGAUUGGCCUUUG